CCUACGGGAGGCUGCAGUGAGGAAUAUUGGUCAAUGGGCGGAAGCCUGAACCAGCCAAGUCGCGUGAGGGAAUAAGGCCCUACGGGUCGUAAACCUCUUUUGCCGGGGAGCAAGGGCGGCGACGUGUCCCGGCCCGGAGAGUACCCGGAGAAAAAGCAUCGGCUAACUCCGUGCCAGCAGCCGCGGUCAUACGGAGGAUGCGAGCGUUAUCCGGAUUUAUUGGGUUUAAAGGGUGCGCAGGCGGCCUGUUAAGUCAGCGGUAAAAGCCCGGGGCUCAACCCCGUCGAGCCGUUGAAACUGGCGGUCUGGAGUUGGAGAGAAGUACGCGGAAUGCGCGGUGUAGCGGUGAAAUGCUUAGAUAUUGCGCAGAACUCCGAUUGCGAAGGCAGCAUACCGGCGGCGAUCUGACGCUGAGGCACGAAAGCGUGGGUAUCGAACAGGAUUAGAUACCCGUGUAGGC
RNAcentral lists this ribosomal RNA (460 nucleotides) under uncultured bacterium. RNAcentral describes it as "partial 16S ribosomal RNA". It matches the Rfam family "Bacterial small subunit ribosomal RNA", at positions 338 to 795 of the family's 1533-position model. The record is from RNAcentral.